Molecule: non-coding RNA, 839 nt
Organism: Hydra vulgaris (swiftwater hydra)
Lineage: Eukaryota; Metazoa; Cnidaria; Hydrozoa; Anthoathecata; Hydridae
Source: RefSeq, a predicted model, not a curated record
AUAACCCAACUGCACUUACAAUCAUCUAUACUAACAUCAAUGCUUGCUUGAGCAUUGCAAGUGGACCAAUUAUUACCUGAUUUGGUUAAUCACCGUGUUGGAGUAAUUGAUCGUCGACUACUAAUAUUAUUGGAAGAGGUCAAACAGGGCAAACAAACAAUAACUUUGCUUCUGCAACAAUUCUCAACAGCAGCGUGGCAUUGUAGAAACAAGUUUUGACGAUUUUGGGUAACUGUUUUAUCAAUGGAACAGUUAAAAAAAAUUGAAACAGAUUGUCUUGAUAAUUAAAUGCAAAGAAAGCUUGUAAGACACGUUAUUUGAGUCAUUGUGGUGGAACAACUGUUUCUGAAUCGACAAGAAAUAUAGUAAAGCAAUUGAUGAAAAAUAGAAUUUCAGUUGCUUGUAAUAGGAAAGGAAAAAGGGGAAAAUAUGCUUGUAGCAAUAGCAAGCUUUACCAAAUUACAAAUAGUGCACUUAUUUAUGUGUUAAUCCAGGAAUCGGCAAUCUUCGGCUCGUGAGUCGCAUGCAGUUUUUUUACCCAAACUGUGUGGCUCUUCAACCUGUUCGAGUUUUAUAUUUAAAUGAUAUUGAAUACCAUUGAAUAAUAAUUUGCGCAUUCAAUAUCUUUACGGCUCUUUAGAUAGAUUUUUUAAAAUUAUUUUAAGAAAAAUGACUCUCAACUUGAAACAGGUUGCCGACCCCUGUAUUAAACCAUCAUUAUUUAUUCUUACUGUAGAUACACUCUUACCGUUAUUAAUACUUUUAAUAUAAAUUUAAAUUUUUAUUUCUUUUUUAGAUUACAUGAUUAGAAGUUGUUUAUAAAGCUAAACUAAAUGAAU